RNAcentral lists this long non-coding RNA (981 nucleotides) under Gallus gallus (chicken). The record is from RNAcentral. Lineage: Eukaryota; Metazoa; Chordata; Aves; Galliformes; Phasianidae.
ACCAGAUCCGAAUGGUGGCAUCAGGAGAAGCUGAGAACACCAAAUCCUGUGAGGGGUGGAACACGACACUGGUGACCUUCUUGGAGUGGCCCUUGAGCGUUGCCAGGAUCUGCUCAGAGCUCUUGUCAAAGACGAUGACAUUUUUAUCAGCCCCACCGGUGAGGAUCUUGUUGGUGUCGGAAGGACAGAGGUCCAAGGCCAGGAUACCUGGGAUGCUGGCGCUGUGCAACCCCACAUGCGAGGCGACCUGCCGGUACUUGCUGAGCUCCUCUGGCUUCACCAACUCCUCUGGCACUGUCUUGCCCCUCUUCUUGCGCUCUGUGGUCAGCACGGUGGCCUUGUCUUGAAGCUUCUGGAUAAUCUCAGGAGUCAUGCCUGCAAGUUCACCCAAGUCCAUGGACUCCCCAGCUCCCGCCACGUUGGGCUGUGAGGACGGCACUGCCUGUGGCACGAUGAGGCCAGCCUGUGGUUUCAGCGUGGCCAGAGCUUCUCUGGCAGCAGUGACCUCCUUGGUGAGCCGUGCGAUGACACGGCAGGCAGCAUCGUGCUGGUACAGCGCGUGGGACAGCUCCUGGCGCGUGGUCUGCAGCUGCUGGCGCAGCGUGAAGCUGUGCAGCAUAACGGCAUCCCACUCAUCCUGCAGCGCCUUCAGAAUGGCCGGGAUGCUGGUGGCCGACGGUGGCUUGGGCCGGAUGGGAUGGGCAACUUUGAUGUCGAUGAGCUGCUCCUCAGACAACGGCUGGUUGUUGACGGGGUCGGUGCCGUUCUCUGCGAUGUAUUUCUCGAUCAGCCGCCGCUCGUACACGUGGUUGGACACCGGCGACACGCACGGGUGCUCGGGGACCUCGUUGGAGAUGGAGCAGAUGAGGGCCAUGGCGGGCCCUGCGCGCUCCGCUUCCGGCUGCUCCUGGUUCCGCUUCCGGCUCCGCGCGGCCUCACCGACGCUCGGAGCUCUUGCGCGGGCUCCGCUCAGGCGGCAGC